This 3639-nucleotide long non-coding RNA is filed under the name Gossypium barbadense (sea-island cotton). RNAcentral describes it as "long non-coding RNA (GBAR_LNC019566)". The record is from RNAcentral. Lineage: Eukaryota; Viridiplantae; Streptophyta; Magnoliopsida; Malvales; Malvaceae.
UAUUCUCUAUUUAUUUAAGUCUUGAGCUUGAAUCAUUUAAUAAAUUUCAAGCAAUCCUGGAGCUAUCAACCAUGGAGAAAUCUGCCCCUCUCCAUGCAUGCCAUGUAAACAAAAUCACCAUCAUCAUCAACAGAGCCCAUGCGUUCCUCCAUUCCAUAGCCAUACUGUUCGUGAUUCAUUACAAGCUUUCCUUGCAACAAUACACCUGACUAACACCAAAAUGAAAGCAUAAAGCACCUUUCAGCACAAGGCACAUAUCAAACCCAACAAGGAAAACUAAUUUACCUUAUCUCUUUCUUACCUGUAGCCAUGUAACAGCCCGUUUUCAGUGAAAUCAGAACAGUGAUUUCGGGGCUACAAAUCCGAGGUCAGAAGAAAAUUAUUUUAAUAUUAUUUUAUGGCCUAUAGUAUGAUAGAAAUAUCAUAUGAAAAUUUCGUUAAGAAAUUUUAUCGUUUACAUGUCUAAUUUGAUGAAAAUAACUAAAUUGCACAAAGUGUAAAAGUUGAAUUCUAGUAGCUUAAGGUAUUAAAUAGCUAUGGAAUUUAAAAUUAGAGGUCCUUAUAUGGAAAAUAGACCAUUUUGAGGAGUUAGUAGAUAAGGAUGAUUAUUCAUCAUUGGAAAUUAAGAAAUUAUUAAGGUUAAUUUUGGAAAGACGAUACAAUAAUGAUGAUAAAUAAAAUAAAUAAUUAAAAUAUAAUCAUUUUCAUCAUCUUUCCUAAAACAAAAUACAUGGAAACCCUAGCCAUGGAUGUUGAGUUCAAGUAAGCUAUUUUUGCUUAAUUAGGUAUGUAUUCUUGUUUCGUUUUUAAUGAUUUUUAUUUUUCCGAGAUAGUAAUAGCUUAAUUUAGCUAUAUUGGGGAUUCAUUUGCAAAACUAUUAAAGUGUUAGGGUUUUACCAUGGAUGAGUAUAGUUGAAUUAUGAAAUUUUAUGGUAAAAAAUGAAAGGUUAUUAAUAGAUAAACAACUUUUGUAAAGAGAAUUUUUAUGAAAUUAUGAUUUAGGGACUAAAUUGAAAAGAUGGAAAAUUCAUGGAAAAAUUUUGAAUUUUAUGAAAUUCAUGGGCUUUUAUUGAUAUAUAUGAAAAUUGGCUAGGCUUGAAAUAAGGAUUAAAUUGUAUGAAUUUCAUUUUCUGAGUCUAGGGAUAAAAUCGUAAUUAAUAAAAAAUAUAGGGGCAAAAUAGUAAUUUUUCCAAAGAUGUGUAUUGGACUGAAUUGAAUAUGAAUUGUAUUAAAUUGAACUAAAUUCAUUCGUAUAGAUCCGGAUAGACCUAGUACGGAAUUGGAUCAAGAAAAAUAAAAAGUAUCGGAUUAGUAGCUUACAAAUCUACGUAUAUUUGUCGAGGUAAGUUCGUGUAACUAAAUUGUAUAUUUGUAUGAUUUGAAUUGAAUAUUUUUGUGUGUGUGAUUUGUAUAUUAUUGAUCACAUAUCCGACAAGUACUAAGUCUCGUUUGAACAUUGAAAAUUUGAUGGAUACAAAUUACAUGUCAUUAAGGAUUCCCGAAUUAGUUGUGGUCCUGCAUGUGUUGCAGACACACCACAGCUCCCAAGAGCGUCCUGUUAUUUAGCUAUUAUGAGCAUCUCAUUAUAUGGUUAUCAUGAUUUUCCCGAUAUUUGGCUAUAUUGAGCUUCCCGAUUAAUGGCUCUCUUGAGCUUCCCGUUUAUGGCUAGUAUGAGCUUUCCGACAAUUGGCUCGCAAGAGCUUCCCGUUAUAUAGCUCUCAUGAGCUUCCUGCUACAUGACUCGAAAGAGCUUCCUGAUUACAUGCUCGUAUGGGCAUAAUUGUAUAUGAAUUGACGGAUUACAAAUUUGUACACUUCGUAUGUACUAUCAGUAUAUCCAACGAUAUUUUAAAUGGUUCAACGGGCAAAGUUUUGAUAUGAGACAAUAUGAAUUCGAGACGAAUUAUUAUGGUUAUGUACUUGAAAUACAUGGAUAUGAUUUGUACAUGUUAUAUGGACACAUGAUGUGGAAAGUAUAUGUAUAUGAAAAUUUGAUUAUUGUUGAGCUCAUACAUGUUUCUUGAUAUUCAUAUGAAAUACAUGACUAACAUGGUUGAUGAGGAUAAGUGUUUAGGCUAUUGACCAAAUUGCUUUGGAUAUAUCUUGUUUGCUUACUUUAAAUAUGAAUAAAUGGUAAGUUAAAUUCCAUGUUAUACGAACUUACUAAGCUUAAAUGCUUACUCUGUUUUAUUUCCCCUGUUUUAUAGUAACUCGAAAGCUGGUCGGAGCUACAUCACACUAUCCAUCGGCCCGUUUCGGUAUAUAUAGUAAAUUGAUUUUGGUUAUAAUGGCAUGUAUAAGUUCAUUUGGCCAAUGAUGACAUACAAUUGUUUUGUUGUGAUUAGUCAUUUGAAUGGCUUGAAUUUGAUGUAUAUAUAUGGCAUUAUCAUGUUUAAUGUGUGCUUGGUAUGGUUGAAUGAUGGAUAAUUCAUAAGCAUAUUGAUGGUUGGAUUAGAUUGGUAUAUUAGGUAUAAAUAUGUUUAUAUGUGUAUUUGGUUAAUUUGGUAAGUAUGGAUUCUUGGAUAUAUGUGAUGAUAUGUUAUGUUUAAGACUUGAGUUUGGCUUGUUUUAAGUAGUUUUAUAUGGCUUGAUGAUGUGCAAAAAGUGUUGAUGUAGGUUGAAGACAAAUUGGGUGAGAAAUGUGGCUAGAAAAAUGGCCUAUUUUGUCCACAAGAGCAGAGACACGGGCGUGUGUCUCAGUCGUGUGUGACACACGGCCAAGUGACACGGUUGUGUGUCCCCUGUAUCUUUUAAUUAGUGCAAAACAAAAUGCUCACACGGCCUAGCACAUAGGCGUGUGGCUUGGCUGUGUGACUUAAGUCAGAGAGCUCAUAAUUUUGGACACGGGCUGGGACACGACCGUUUGUCCUUAUUUCGAAUGUCCACACGGCCUGGCCACACAAGCGUGUGUCCCUUGUAGCUUUGAAAAUUUUUAAUGUUUUCGGAAAAAUUCUCUGAGUACCCAGUUUAGUCCCGACUUAUUUCUAACAUGUAUUUUGGGCCUCGAGGGCUCACAUAAGGGACAAUGUGAUGGAUUUGGAUUAGUUUCUGAUAUGAGUGCUAGAUGAUAUGAAAUGUCUGUUAUUUGAUCUGUAAAUUUUGGUAAUGCUCCGCAAUCCUAUUUCAACGACGGAUUCGGGUUAGGGGUGUUACAAGCCACCUCCUCCAUGAGACAAUUGUUGUUUAUAGCUUUUUCACCUCCGAGGGUUCCACUUGUAUCUGAAGAAUCCUUUGAUACCUCCGGAGCCUUUUUAGUAUUUGAUUUACGCCAAUAAGAACUUAUACCAUUGAAGUGUGCAAAGUUGACCUAUAUUUUAUAUCCAAAUAAACGGAAACCGUUCAGACGAAGCGUCACCCUUCUUGUAUCAGUAUAGUUUGCGAGUCUCACAAAACCAAAUCUUUCUCCAUUUUUCACUUCUCUUUUUUGGAAUGAAGACAUCUACAACCAUGCUGUGAUACUUUCAUCCUCCAAAGACCUCUCCAUUGCAUGCAUGGAGGAAGGUUCAAUACAAAAACAGUAACACAAAUCUGUCCACUACACCUGAUCAUGGCUUGUGCUACCUCAAGCCUGAAAUUUUUUUUUUCAACAAAAUUAUAGGCCCAAAAAUAUACUUAGGAUAAACAUGCUCGUUUUUAGCC